Non-coding RNA from Salmo salar (Atlantic salmon), 54 nucleotides. The record is from Rfam. NCBI's taxonomy places the organism in Eukaryota, Metazoa, Chordata, Actinopteri, Salmoniformes, Salmonidae.
UGCAUUCACUACUGUGAGUCGCUCUGGAUAAGAGCGUCUGCAAAAUGACUAAAA